Molecule: small nuclear RNA, 121 nt
Organism: Medicago truncatula (barrel medic)
Lineage: Eukaryota; Viridiplantae; Streptophyta; Magnoliopsida; Fabales; Fabaceae
Rfam family: U5 spliceosomal RNA
About the family: U5 RNA is a component of both types of known spliceosome.
Source: Rfam
GAGCUGUGUGUUGAUCACAUAGUAAACUAUUCUUUUGCCUUUUACUAAAGAAUACCUUGUGAGUGUUACAAUUAGCGGUAGGGCUCUGCAAUUUUAGUUCAAUAUUUUCCUAUUCCUAUUU